This 254-nucleotide ribosomal RNA is filed under the name uncultured bacterium. RNAcentral describes it as "partial 16S ribosomal RNA". It matches the Rfam family "Bacterial small subunit ribosomal RNA", at positions 524 to 776 of the family's 1533-position model. The record is from RNAcentral.
UACGUAGGGUGCGAGCGUUGUCCGGAAUUAUUGGGCGUAAAGAGCUCGUAGGCGGUGUGUCGCGUCGGCCGUGAAAACCUGCAGCUUAACUGUGGGCUUGCGGUCGAUACGGGCAUCACUGGAGUUCGGCAGGGGAGACUGGAAUUCCUGGUGUAGCGGUGAAAUGCGCAGAUAUCAGGAGGAACACCGGUGGCGAAGGCGCUCUGCUAGGCCGCAACUGACACUGAGGGACGAAAGCUAGGGGAGCGAAUGGG